UACAGAGGUCCCCAAGCGUUGUUCGGAUUCACUGGGCGUAAAGCGCGCGUAGGUGGUUGUGUAAGUUGGAUGUGAAAAGCCCCGGGCUUAACCUGGGAACUGCAUUCAAAACUGCACGGCUAGAGUACGGGAGAGGGGGGUAGAAUUCCAGGUGUAGCGGUGAAAUGCGUAGAGAUCUGGAGGAAUACCGAUGGCGAAGGCAGCCCCCUGGCCUGAUACUGACACUGAGGUGCGAAAGCAUGGGGAGCAAACAGGAUUAGAUACCCUUGUAGU
This 273-nucleotide ribosomal RNA is filed under the name uncultured bacterium. Its description in RNAcentral is "partial 16S ribosomal RNA". It matches the Rfam family "Bacterial small subunit ribosomal RNA", at positions 524 to 794 of the family's 1533-position model. The record is from RNAcentral.